GCAUAUCAAUAAGCGGAGGAAAAGAAACUAACUAGGAUUCCCUUAGUAACGGCGAGUGAACCGGGAUGAGCUCAAAUUUGAAAUCUGGCGUCUUUCAGGCGUCCGAGUUGUAAUCUAUAGAGGCGUUUUCCGCGCCGGACCGCGUCCAAGUCUCUUGGAAUAGAGUAUCAAAGAGGGUGACAAUCCCGUACUUGACGCGACAACCGGUGCUCUGUGAUACGUUCUCAAUGAGUCGAGUUGUUUGGGAAUGCAGCUCUAAAUGGGUGGUAAAUUCCAUCUAAGGCUAAAUAUUGGCGAGAGACCGAUAGCGAACAAGUACCGUGAGGGAAAGAUGAAAAGCACUUUGGAAAGAGAGUUAAACAGCACGUGAAAUUGUUAAAAGGGAAACGAUUGAAGUCAGUCGUGUGAGGGGUAUUCAGCCGUCUCUGGCGGUGUAUUUGCCUCUCACGGGUCAACAUCAGUUUGAUCCGGUAGAAAAAGGCGGGAGGAAGGUGGCACCCUCGGGUGUGUUAUAGCCUCCUGUCAUAUGUGCCGGACCAGACUGAGGAACGCAGCUUGCAGCAAUGCCGGGAUUCGUCCACGUACAAGCUUAGGAUGUUGACAUAAUGGCUUUAAACGACCCGUCUUG
This 628-nucleotide ribosomal RNA is filed under the name Cryptococcus sp. VTT C-04554. RNAcentral's name for it is "eukaryotic LSU rRNA". It matches the Rfam family "Eukaryotic large subunit ribosomal RNA", at positions 38 to 656 of the family's 3401-position model. The record is from RNAcentral. Lineage: Eukaryota; Fungi; Basidiomycota; Tremellomycetes; Tremellales; Cryptococcaceae.